UGGGGUGACUGCGUACCUUUUGUAUAAUGGGUCAGCGACUUAUAUUCUGUAGCAAGGUUAACCGUAUAGGGGAGCCGUAGGGAAACCGAGUCUUAACUGGGCGAAUGAGUUGCAGGGUAUAGACCCGAAACCCGGUGAUCUAUCCAUGGGCAGGUUGAAGGUUGGGUAACACUAACUGGAGGACCGAACCGACUAAUGUUGAAAAAUUAGCGGAUGACUUGUGGAUGGGGGUGAAAGGCCAAUCAAACCGGGAGAUAGCUGGUUCUCCCCGAAAGCUAUUUAGGUAGCGCCUCGUGAACUCAUCUUCGGGGGUAGAGCACUGUUUCGACUAGGGGGUCAUCCCGACUUACCAACUCGAUGCAAACUGCGAAUACCGAAGAAUGUUAUCACGGGAGACACACGGCGGGUGCUAACGUCCGUCGUGAAGAGGGAAACAACCCAGACCGCCAGCUAAGGUCCCAAAGUCAUGGUUAAGUGGGAAACGAAGUGGGAAGGCUCAGACAGCCAGGAUGUUGGCUUAGAAGCAGCCAUCAUUUAAAGAAAGCGUAAUAGCUCACUGGUCGAGUCGGCCCGCGCGGAAGAUGUAACGGGGCUAAACCAUGCACCGAAGCUGCGGCAGCGA
Molecule: ribosomal RNA, 622 nt
Filed under: Proteus mirabilis
Lineage: Bacteria; Pseudomonadati; Pseudomonadota; Gammaproteobacteria; Enterobacterales; Morganellaceae
Also listed under: 3 other names
Description: partial 23S ribosomal RNA
Rfam family: Bacterial large subunit ribosomal RNA
Source: RNAcentral